ACGAACGCUGCUGACGUGCCUAAUACAUGCAAGUCGAGCGGACCGAAGGGAGGCUUGCUCCUAUAGAGUAGCGGCGGGACGGGGGGAGUAUCACGUGGACAACCCUGCCCCUGCAGACUGGGAUAAAUUCGGGAAACCGGAGCUAAUACCGGAUAACAGCGAAAAUCUCAUGGUUUUCGGUUGAAAAGCGGCUUUUAGCUGUCACUGCAGGAUGGGCCCGCGGCGCAUUAGCUAGUUGGUGAGGUAACGGCUCUCCAAGGCGACGAUGCGUAGCCGACCUGAGAGGGUGACCGGCCACACUGGGACUGAGACACGGCCCAGACUCCUACGGGAGGCAGCAGUAGGGAAUCUUCCGCAAUGGACGAAAGUCUGACGGAGCAACGCCGCGUGAGCGAAGAAGGUCUUCGGAUCGUAAAGCUCUGUUGUCAGGGAAGAACAAGUACCGUUCGAACAGGGCGGUACCUUGACGGUACCUGACGAGGAAGCCACGGCUAACUACGUGCCAGCAGCCGCGGUAAUACGUAGGUGGCAAGCGUUGUCCGGAAUUAUUGGGCGUAAAGCGCGCGCAGGCGGUUCCUUAAGUCUGAUGUGAAAUCUCGCGGCUCAACCGCGAGCGGCCAUUGGAAACUGGGGAACUUGAGUGCAGGAGAGGGGAGCGGAAUUCCACGUGUAGCGGUGAAAUGCGUAGAGAUGUGGAGGAACACCAGUGGCGAAGGCGGCUCUCUGGUCUGUAACUGACGCUGAGGCGCG
Molecule: ribosomal RNA, 750 nt
Filed under: bacterium IMCC11672
Lineage: Bacteria
Description: bacterial SSU rRNA
Rfam family: Bacterial small subunit ribosomal RNA
Source: RNAcentral